RNAcentral lists this long non-coding RNA (1233 nucleotides) under Sinocyclocheilus grahami. RNAcentral's name for it is "lncRNA (ENSSGRG00000003995.1)". The record is from RNAcentral. Lineage: Eukaryota; Metazoa; Chordata; Actinopteri; Cypriniformes; Cyprinidae.
CUUCUAAUGAAUUAUUUUCUAAUUACAGGGGGUGGAUAUGAACCAGAAGACUAUUUAAAAUCAUCGAAGACGAUGAAGCUGGCAUACGUUGUGUUCAUUGCUAAGAGUGCACUGUAUGGCCUUGUCAUCUUUGUGUUCGUGUUGAGAAAGGUAAGGAUGAUAAACUUGUAAUUAUAAUCCAUAAUCUCAAACAGAAGUGCUGGAAGAAUAUUAACAACAUAAGCGUCAAAUGUUAUACAAAUCACAUGUAUAUGUUAGUACAAUAGAAAAAUCCACACAUUAUAUGGAUGUUAUAGAUAGAUAACCCCCCCUCUCUGAAUGUCUCAAUGUUUAUGUAAUAUUUGUUUCAGGGUUCAUGUGGAAAGUGAAUGAACAAAACAUAUCUGGAUUGUUGGAGUUGCCAAGAAAACUUCAUUUUCUCCAACCAUAAGAGAUGCUGUUUAUAUAACUGAAGAGUCUAUUAUUUUAUUUUAUUUUCUGAGUGUUUAUUCCAAUGAAAGCCUGCAUAUACUUCAGAUCAGAUUAAUCAUAAAAAUCUACUUUUUGAUUAUAUAUUAUUCUUUUGCUUGUUUCCUUGCUACUGUGUUUAGUGUUAAUUUCAUAGAAUUCUAAAAGAGACUUUACAGAGAUGAAUAUAAUUCAUUAUUUUUCACAAUAAGAGCUACUGUAUUUUGUGUUUAAUUCAAUUUGUUUCGCACAUAAAUAAAAUAAAAUCUAACACAUUAUCCACAAAGAAAAUUCUCAUUUAUUUUUAUAGCAACAUUGUUCACCAAUUAGCUAUUUUGAUAGCUUUUAUUUUCGCUGUAAUUCAUUUGGUAGAGCAUGCAUCACAGGUUUGAUUCCCAGGGAACACAGAUAAACUAUACCUUGAAUUGUUUUGAAUAAAAGCUUCUGCAAAAUACAUAUAUGUAAAAGUCAGUUUGUAGCCAAUAACCUUCAUAGGACUGACAAUAAUCUCCCAACUGCGUUCAAUCAAGUAACAACAUGGUAACAAUGAUGCAUCUGGUUGAUUAUAUUCUGUAGCCUAUGUGGUCUUUGUAUUCCCAGAGAGGCCCCCUAGUGAGUGCAUAGCUAUUUCUGGUCACUAAAACAUUGUUAUUAGAAAUAAAUAACUUUUUACUUCUUUAAAUGAACAGUUCUAUCAACUAAAUAAAAAUGAAAACAAUUUUCACAUUGUCAGUUGUUUCUCAUUGCACUUAUAGAUUAUUAUUUAUUGAUAUUUUAGGCUCCCAC